CCUUGAUGGCCAUAUGUCAUUUUGCCAUUUUCCUUUGACUUCAUGUGUAUUGUAGGGUUACAUGAUAGUAUUCCUGUCGUCACACGGUUCUCUAGAGGCUCUUGCUCACUCUAAUCAUCCUGACUUUGGCUCUAUAGACUGAUGUUCUCUCCAAUUUAGUUGUCGUGUCUGAUCACUUCUGAAUUUUUCUCGUCUCAAACCUUUUCGCUGAAAUUUUUAGGCAUUAAAGCUCAAACGAACUUGAAAGAUAUCAAGGUGGUUACAUAAAUUAACCACUUUCUCAAUUUUGAAAGCUACCUCAUUUCAACAAUUUGUAUCUCUUUAUAAUAUUUCUUCUGCAGAUUCACAUUGCCUCCAUUUCUAACACUCAAGAACUUUGAGGGCUUGGACCUUGGAAAGAUGGACAAGGCUGAUGAUUCUGGUCUGGCAUCAUAUGUUGCUGGGCAAAUUGACAGAUCUCUGAGCUGGAAGUGUUUCAGGAGGCAAUGCAGGAAUUAUGGCUACUCCCUACUUGCUCUUGCAUGAUGGAAUAGAGCUCCAGUUUGCAACAAAUCAUAUUGGUCAUUUUCUUCUAACAAAUCUUUUGUUGGAGAACAUGAAGGAUACAUCCCGUAAAAGUAAUACUGAAGAAGGAUUGUCAUUCUUUCAUCAGAGGGCAACAGAAUGACCUGCC
Molecule: long non-coding RNA, 673 nt
Organism: Asparagus officinalis (garden asparagus)
Lineage: Eukaryota; Viridiplantae; Streptophyta; Magnoliopsida; Asparagales; Asparagaceae
Exons: 4
Source: RefSeq, a predicted model, not a curated record